CACUAGCAUUGAAAAAUGCUAAAGUCAUAUUUAAGGCAUUUUUGACAUUUUAGAGGAUAAAAACACUUACAUCAAACAAUGCUAAACCAUACUAUUGUAAAAUUUUUUACAAUAGUGCUACAGUACAAUUCUAAACUUAGAAUUGUACUGUAGCACAAUGGUAAAAGGAAAAAAUAUAUUUUAUUCCCUCCGAAAUGAAACACUCCACUGUCACGGUACUUCAGUGCUCUUCUCUCUCUUCUUUGUUCUGUUUCUCAAUCAGCUCUCUCCUCUCUUCAGCUCUCUCCUCUCUUCAGACCCAAACGGCAUACUCCUCCCAACAUCACACACCAUGUGGAUUCGUUGAAGCUCAACUGAUUCACCCUCACCCAUCUCCAUUGCCGACGCUUCACACGGCGUCUCAUCUCAGACCCAUCUCCAAAUCCCUUUACCGAUUCACCCUCACCCUCAACCUCAACCGAUUUAAUCAGACCCAUCUCCAAAUCCCUUUACCGAUUCACCCUCACCCUCACUCAUCUCAUAAACCCAACACUCUAGAUAGUACCCAUUUAACUCUUCACUCCAUCACUCUCUCUUCAAACCGAUACUCAAGGUUCCACUAAGCUCCGCCGGUGUGGGGGAUUCAGCUCCAUCGAUGUUGGUGCUAACUGUAAGAUUCAACCUCAUCAACGAGGGGUUUUCGCUCUCUGGCACGGGAUUAGCAUCAUCAAAAAAUUUGCUCAGGUUCAUCUUCCAUACCAGUCACAGAAAAUGGUAAACAAGAGCGUCACUUGGUUGCAACAGUGGGAAAGUUCAGUGUGAUAUGAGACUUCCAGCAGGUGAAAAACAGUGCUCAUGCAUGCUACAGGAAUCAGCAAGGCCAUAAAAGCUGUUAUUGUUACAAGAUUGUGUUGAAGGAUGAGUCUAUUAUUGAGAGUCGGUUCAUGCAUGACAAGUUUGCCAUUAGUGACUCCCCAGAAGCUCCACUGGUGGUUGCUACCCCUAUGAAAGUUAGCUUUAUCAGCCUCUCCGGCAAGCGACAACAUUAAUAAAUUAUCUUUAUUUACAUAAUUGAGUUAUUUUCCAAGUUGUGUGCGUCCAAGGUUGCUUUCUUCUGUAUAUGGAUUUGUUUUUUUUUAGCUCUCUUGUAGUUGUUCUUGGCUUCUGCUUGUACUUAAAUGAAUUCUUUUCACUCUGUUAUAAAUUUUAAUAGUGUUUCUUGACU
This is a long non-coding RNA of Quercus lobata, 1204 nucleotides long. RefSeq lists it as uncharacterized. The transcript is spliced from 3 exons. NCBI's taxonomy places the organism in Eukaryota, Viridiplantae, Streptophyta, Magnoliopsida, Fagales, Fagaceae. The record is from RefSeq and is a predicted model, not a curated record.